RNAcentral lists this ribosomal RNA (325 nucleotides) under uncultured bacterium. Its description in RNAcentral is "bacterial SSU rRNA". It matches the Rfam family "Bacterial small subunit ribosomal RNA", at positions 568 to 898 of the family's 1533-position model. The record is from RNAcentral.
UGCUCAGGUGGCCUUGCAAGUCAGGGGUGAAAGUUCAAAGCUUAACUUUGAAAUUGCCUUUGAUACUGCCGGGCUUGAGUAUGGAAGAGGGUGAUGGAAUUCCUGGUGUAGCAGUGAAAUGCGUAGAUAUCAGGAAGAACACCAGUGGCGAAGGCGGUCAUCUGGUCCACUACUGACACUAAAGCACGAAAGCGUGGGGAUCAAACAGGAUUAGAUACCCUGGUAGUCCACGCCUUAAACGAUGAAUACUAGAUGUUGGGGUUUUCUCAGUAUCGUAGUCAACACGUUAAGUAUUCCACCUGGGGAGUACGAUCGCAAGGUUGAA